Molecule: ribosomal RNA, 637 nt
Filed under: Salmonella enterica
Lineage: Bacteria; Pseudomonadati; Pseudomonadota; Gammaproteobacteria; Enterobacterales; Enterobacteriaceae
Description: bacterial SSU rRNA
Rfam family: Bacterial small subunit ribosomal RNA
Source: RNAcentral
AAAUUGAAGAGUUUGAUCAUGGCUCAGAUUGAACGCUGGCGGCAGGCCUAACACAUGCAAGUCGAACGGUAACAGGAAGCAGCUUGCUGCUUCGCUGACGAGUGGCGGACGGGUGAGUAAUGUCUGGGAAACUGCCUGAUGGAGGGGGAUAACUACUGGAAACGGUGGCUAAUACCGCAUAACGUCGCAAGACCAAAGAGGGGGACCUUCGGGCCUCUUGCCAUCAGAUGUGCCCAGAUGGGAUUAGCUUGUUGGUGAGGUAAUGGCUCACCAAGGCGACGAUCCCUAGCUGGUCUGAGAGGAUGACCAGCCACACUGGAACUGAGACACGGUCCAGACUCCUACGGGAGGCAGCAGUGGGGAAUAUUGCACAAUGGGCGCAAGCCUGAUGCAGCCAUGCCGCGUGUAUGAAGAAGGCCUUCGGGUUGUAAAGUACUUUCAGCGGGGAGGAAGGUGUUGUGGUUAAUAACCGCAGCAAUUGACGUUACCCGCAGAAGAAGCACCGGCUAACUCCGUGCCAGCAGCCGCGGUAAUACGGAGGGUGCAAGCGUUAAUCGGAAUUACUGGGCGUAAAGCGCACGCAGGCGGUCUGUCAAGUCGGAUGUGAAAUCCCCGGGCUCAACCUGGGAACUGCAUU